This is a microRNA precursor of Oryza sativa Japonica Group (Japanese rice), 203 nucleotides long. It matches the Rfam family "MIR812 microRNA precursor family". NCBI's taxonomy places the organism in Eukaryota, Viridiplantae, Streptophyta, Magnoliopsida, Poales, Poaceae. The record is from Rfam.
CUUACGUACCCCCUUUUAUACUAUUUAUUUUCAACGUUUACGUCUUAUUUGAAAAUUUUUUAUGAUUAGUGCUUUAUUGUUAUUUGAUGAUAAAAUAUGAAUAGUACUUUAUGUGUGAUUAUUUUUUAAAAAUUUUUUUAUAAAUUUUUUAAAUAAGACGAACGGUUAAACGUUGGACAAGGAUAUCCACGGCUGCACUUAUU